RNAcentral lists this ribosomal RNA (555 nucleotides) under Leptalpheus denticulatus. RNAcentral describes it as "partial small subunit ribosomal RNA". The stretch from base 193 to 555 matches the Rfam family "Microsporidia small subunit ribosomal RNA", at positions 751 to 1211 of the family's 1311-position model. Lineage: Eukaryota; Metazoa; Arthropoda; Malacostraca; Decapoda; Alpheidae. The record is from RNAcentral.
GAGUGAGCGAGGGACGGUCGGGCUGAGGUAGGAGUGAUAUUUGGGGGUUCCAUUUCUAUAUGUUAGUAAAGCGGUGAAAUGCGAUAAUUUUAGGUUGGGGUAUGAGUCUUUUCGGUGAUUUGAUUCCUUUAAGAUCGGGGUGUGGACCAGGAUUAGAUACCCUGCUAUCCCUUUAGUAAUUUUUAGGUGCCUGGAGUAGUAAACAGAUAUGGGCUCGAAACUUAAAGAAUUUGGCGGUAUUUAAGUCUGGUUAGAGGAACCUGUGCUGUAAACGAUAAACCACGAAUAUCUUACUUUGUUUUGGGAGUGCAGUACGUAUACCGCCAUUGUUAUCGAUAAUCUUUGAAGGGGUUUAUUGAGGUAGAUUUUGAAUCUAGUAAAUUAGGUCAAGGUGCGGCUUAUAGCAAAGGAGACAUGGGUUACAUUGAUAUUAGUGAGUUCGGAUGAGUCCGGUAAGUCGGAUUUUGUAAGGUGGAUUUAAUAGUAAAGUUGGUUGAUUAUGCAUUCUUGAUAUAAGCUCUUAGAUAUGCACACAUCGCCCGUCGUUCUCGCUUU